AACGGCCUACCAAGUCGACGAUCAGUAGCCGGACUGAGAGGUUGAACGGCCACAUUGGGACUGAGAUACGGCCCAGACUCCUACGGGAGGCAGCAGUCGGGAAUAUUGCGCAAUGGAGGAAACUCUGACGCAGUGACGCCGCGUAUAGGAAGAAGGUUUUCGGAUUGUAAACUAUUGUCGUUAGGGAAGAUACAAGACAGUACCUAAGGAGGAAGCUCCGGCUAACUACGUGCCAGCAGCCGCGGUAAUACGUAGGGAGCAAGCGUUAUCCGGAUUUAUUGGGUGUAAAGGGUGCGUAGACGGGACAACAAGUUAGUUGUGAAAUCCCUCGGCUUAACUGAGGAACUGCAACUAAAACUAUUGUUCUUGAGUGUUGGAGAGGAAAGUGGAAUUCCUAGUGUAGCGGUGAAAUGCGUAGAUAUUAGGAGGAACACCGGUGGCGAAGGCGACUUUCUGGACAAUAACUGACGUUGAGGCACGAAAGUGUGGGGAGCAAACAGGAUUAGAUACCCUGGUAGUCCACACCGUAAACGAUGGAUACUAGGUGUAGGAAAUGAUUUCAUUUUCUGUGCCGUCGCAAACGCAAUAAGUAUCCCACCUGGGG
Molecule: ribosomal RNA, 604 nt
Filed under: uncultured bacterium
Lineage: Bacteria
Description: bacterial SSU rRNA
Rfam family: Bacterial small subunit ribosomal RNA
Source: RNAcentral